Molecule: ribosomal RNA, 423 nt
Filed under: uncultured Glomeromycotina
Lineage: Eukaryota; Fungi; Glomeromycota
Description: SSU rRNA
Rfam family: Eukaryotic small subunit ribosomal RNA
Source: RNAcentral
CGGUACGUACUGGUAUUGUUGGUUUCUCCCUUCUGACGAACCAUGAUGUCAUUUAUUUGGUGUUGUGGGGAAUCAGGACUGUUACUUUGAAAAAAUUAGAGUGUUUAAAGCAGGCUCACGCUUGAAUACAUUAGCAUGGAAUAAUGAAAUAGGACGUUUGAUUCUAUUUUGUUGGUUUCUAGGAUCGACGUAAUGAUUAAUAGGGAUAGUUGGGGGCAUUAGUAUUCAAUUGUCAGAGGUGAAAUUCUUGGAUUUAUUGAAGACUAACUACUGCGAAAGCAUUUGCCAAGGAUGUUUUCAUUAAUCAAGAACGAAAGUUAGGGGAUCGAAGACGAUCAGAUACCGUCGUAGUCUUAACCAUAAACUAUGCCGACUAGGGAUCGGAUGAUGUUAAUUUUUUAAUGACUCAUUCGGCGCCUUACG